RNAcentral lists this ribosomal RNA (585 nucleotides) under Burkholderiales bacterium RDB-100. RNAcentral's name for it is "bacterial SSU rRNA". It matches the Rfam family "Bacterial small subunit ribosomal RNA", at positions 102 to 683 of the family's 1533-position model. Lineage: Bacteria; Pseudomonadati; Pseudomonadota; Betaproteobacteria; Burkholderiales. The record is from RNAcentral. RNAcentral also lists the same sequence under 2 other names.
ACGGGUGAGUAAUAUAUCGGAACGUGCCCAGUUGUGGGGGAUAACUGCUCGAAAGAGCAGCUAAUACCGCAUACGACCUGAGGGUGAAAGCGGGGGAUCGCAAGACCUCGCGCAAUUGGAGCGGCCGAUAUCAGAUUAGGUAGUUGGUGGGGUAAAGGCCUACCAAGCCUACGAUCUGUAGCUGGUCUGAGAGGACGACCAGCCACACUGGGACUGAGACACGGCCCAGACUCCUACGGGAGGCAGCAGUGGGGAAUUUUGGACAAUGGGGGCAACCCUGAUCCAGCCAUGCCGCGUGCGGGAAGAAGGCCUUCGGGUUGUAAACCGCUUUUGUCAGGGAAGAAAAGACUCCUACUAAUACUGGGGGUUCAUGACGGUACCUGAAGAAUAAGCACCGGCUAACUACGUGCCAGCAGCCGCGGUAAUACGUAGGGUGCAAGCGUUAAUCGGAAUUACUGGGCGUAAAGCGUGCGCAGGCGGUUAUGCAAGACAGAUGUGAAAUCCCCGGGCUCAACCUGGGAACUGCAUUUGUGACUGCAUGGCUAGAGUACGGUAGAGGGGGAUGGAAUUCCGCGUGUAGCAGUG